CCUACGGGAGGCUGCAGUGGGGAAUAUUGGACAAUGGGGGGAACCCUGAUCCAGCCAUGCCGCGUGUGUGAAGAAGGCCCUCGGGUUGUAAAGCACUUUCAGUGAGGAAGAACGCCUGGUGGUUAAUACCCAUCAGGAAAGACAUCACUCACAGAAGAAGCACCGGCUAACUCCGUGCCAGCAGCCGCGGUAAUACGGAGGGUGCGAGCGUUAAUCGGAAUUACUGGGCGUAAAGCGCGCGUAGGUGGCUUGAUAAGCCGGUUGGGAAAGCCCCGGGCUCAACCUGGGAACGGCAUCCGGAACUGUCAAGCUAGAGUGCAGGAGAGGAAGGUAGAAUUCCCGGUGUAGCGGUGAAAUGCGUAGAGAUCGGGAGGAAUACCAGUGGCGAAGGCGGCCUUCUGGACUGACACUGAUACUGAGGUGCGAAAGCGUGGGUAGCAAACAGGAUUAGAUACCCGAGUAGUC
Molecule: ribosomal RNA, 465 nt
Filed under: Vreelandella stevensii
Lineage: Bacteria; Pseudomonadati; Pseudomonadota; Gammaproteobacteria; Oceanospirillales; Halomonadaceae
Description: partial 16S ribosomal RNA
Rfam family: Bacterial small subunit ribosomal RNA
Source: RNAcentral